GAUGAACGCUGGCGGCGUGCUUAACACAUGCAAGUCGAACGGAGAUAUUAAAAAUGAAGUAAGGAGCUUGCUUCGGACGGAAUGAUUAAUAUCUUAGUGGCGGACGGGUGAGUAACGCGUGGAUAACCUGCCUUAUACUGGGGGAUAACACUUAGAAAUAGGUGCUAAUACCGCAUAAGCGCACAGCUUCGCAUGAAGUAGUGUGAAAAACUCCGGUGGUAUAAGAUGGAUCCGCGUCUGAUUAGCUAGUUGGGGGGGUAACGGCCCACCAAGGCGACGAUCAGUAGCCGGCCUGAGAGGGUGAACGGCCACAUUGGGACUGAGACACGGCCCAAACUCCUACGGGAGGCAGCAGUGGGGAAUAUUGCACAAUGGGGGAAACCCUGAUGCAGCGACGCCGCGUGAGUGAAGAAGUAUUUCGGUACGUAAAGCUCUAUCAGCAAGGAAGAAAAUGACGGUACUUGACUAAGAAGCCCCGGCUAACUACGUGCCAGCCGCCGCCGUAA
This 506-nucleotide ribosomal RNA is filed under the name uncultured bacterium. RNAcentral's name for it is "partial 16S ribosomal RNA". It matches the Rfam family "Bacterial small subunit ribosomal RNA", at positions 28 to 523 of the family's 1533-position model. The record is from RNAcentral.